This 355-nucleotide ribosomal RNA is filed under the name uncultured bacterium. Its description in RNAcentral is "bacterial SSU rRNA". It matches the Rfam family "Bacterial small subunit ribosomal RNA", at positions 8 to 350 of the family's 1533-position model. The record is from RNAcentral.
AGAGUUUGAUCAUGGCUCAGGACGAACGCUGGCGGCGUGCUUAACACAUGCAAGUCGAACGGAGUUUAGGUCAGUAGUUUACUACAGAUUUAAACUUAGUGGCGGACGGGUGAGUAACACGUGGGCAACCUGCCCUAAAGAGGGGGAUAACACCGAGAAAUCGGUGCUAAUACCGCAUGACAUUAGAGCUUCGCAUGGAGCUUUAAUCAAAGGAGCAAUCCGCUUUAGGAUGGGCCCGCGUCUGAUUAGCUAGUUGGUGAGGUAGAGGCUCACCAAGGCGACGAUCAGUAGCCGAUCUGAGAGGAUGACCGGCCACACUGGAACUGAGACACGGUCCAGACUCCUACGGGAGGCA